CCUACGGGUGACAGCAGUGGGGAAUAUUGCACAAUGGGGGAAACCCUGAUGCAGCGACGCCGCGUGAGUGAAGAAGGAUUUCGGUACGUAAAGCUCUAUCAGCAGGGAAGAAAAUGAGGCUACCUGUCUAGAAAGCCCCAGCUAACUACGUGCCAGCGUCCGCGGUAAUACGUGGGGGGCAAGCGUUAUCCGGAUUUACUGGGUGGAAAGGGAGCGUAGACGGCAGCGCAAGUCUGGGGUGAAAUCCCAUGGCUUAACCGUGGAACUGCAUUGGAAACUGUGCAGCUAGAGUACAGGAGAGGUAGGCGGAAUUCCUAGUGUAGCGGUGAAAUGCGUAGAUAUUAGGAGGAACACCAGUGGCGAAGGCGGCUUACUGGACUGCAACUGACGUUGAGGCUCGAAAGCGUGGGGAGCAAACAGGAUUAGAUACCCUUGUAGUC
Molecule: ribosomal RNA, 440 nt
Filed under: uncultured bacterium
Lineage: Bacteria
Description: partial 16S ribosomal RNA
Rfam family: Bacterial small subunit ribosomal RNA
Source: RNAcentral